CAAACCGGUGAUUAACCGGUGAACCGACAGAACUGUCCGGUUUUUUAGAAGGUUUUCGGUUCGAAAAUAAACCCUCCUAAACGCGGCGUUUUGUCCCUUAAAUUAAAAAAAAAAAAAAAAAAACGCAAAACGGCAAAACUGAAGUAGUGAACCCUAAAUCAAACGCAGCCCCCAUUUGAUCUUCUUCUUCCCAGAGCCACAAACUCAUCUCCUCUCCUCUCUUCUCUGAGAACCAUAGAAGCCACCGCAGCCCCCAAUCGCGCAGCCACCGCAUCGUUGUCAUCACUGAGCUCGCCUUCUCUCUGUUCGCCGGUGUUGGGUCCUCUGUCGUCGCCAUUGCUCGCCUUCCACCUCGCCGCCGGGAACAAACUGACUGGCAAUAUUCCUCAAACUUAUGUGAAAGGAAAUGCCCUUCACUUGAUUGAUUUUAGUUCUAACAAGUUGUAUGGUCAAUUACCAAGAGCACUUGUCAAUUGCAGAAUGCUAGAGUUUCUUGAUGUGAGACAUAACCAUUUCAAUGACUCAUUUCCUUUCUGGUUAGGAUCUCUUCCUAAGUUGUAUGGUUCUUUCUUUAUUGAUUUGUCUUCAUUUUCAUUGUCCAACAAAGGAGUUGUCAUGGAUUAUCUUGGGGGUCAAUACCUUUGCGGCCAUGAAGUACCUGCUUGGAAGUUGAAACAAUGUUGGCAUGGACUAAAAUAUUUGUGGUUUGUCCUUGUCCAAUUAGUAUGGAACUUAUGGUGAAUGGUUUUGUUAAAUUUUGAUGGAUGAUAGUUUAGGUGUUUUGUUAAAUUUUUUGAAUUAAUUUUAUUGAUGAUU
Non-coding RNA from Arachis ipaensis, 816 nucleotides. Lineage: Eukaryota; Viridiplantae; Streptophyta; Magnoliopsida; Fabales; Fabaceae. The record is from RefSeq and is a predicted model, not a curated record.